GACGAACGCUGGCGGCGUGCCUAACACAUGCAAGUCGAGCGAAUGAAGUUCCUUCGGGAACGGAUUUAGCGGCGGACGGGUGAGUAACACGUGGGCAACCUGCCUCAUAGAGGGGAAUAGCCUUCCGAAAGGGAGAUUAAUACCGCAUAAGAUUGUAAUACCGCAUGGUACAGCAAUUAAAGGAGUAAUCCGCUAUGAGAUGGGCCCGCGGCGCAUUAGCUAGUUGGUGAGGUAACGGCUCACCAAGGCGACGAUGCGUAGCCGACCUGAGAGGGUGAUCGGCCACAUUGGGACUGAGACACGGCCCAGACUCCUACGGGAGGCAGCAGUGGGGAAUAUUGCACAAUGGGGGAAACCCUGAUGCAGCAACGCCGCGUGAGUGAUGACGGCCUUCGGGUUGUAAAGCUCUGUCUUCAGGGACGAUAAUGACGGUACCUGAGGAGGAAGCCACGGCUAACUACGUGCCAGCAGCCGCGGUAA
RNAcentral lists this ribosomal RNA (480 nucleotides) under uncultured bacterium. Its description in RNAcentral is "partial 16S ribosomal RNA". It matches the Rfam family "Bacterial small subunit ribosomal RNA", at positions 28 to 523 of the family's 1533-position model. The record is from RNAcentral.